GGCCUACCAUGGUGGUAACGGGUAACGGGGUGUUAGGGCACGACACCGGAGAGGGAGCCUGAGAAACGGCUACCACAUCCAAGGAUGGCAGCAGGCGCGCAAAUUACCCAAUCCCGACACGGGGAGGUAGUGACAAUAAAUAACAAUACGGGGUCCUUUCGGGUUUCGUAAUUGGAAUGAGUACAAUUUAAAUCUCUUAACGAGGAACAAUUGGAGGGCAAGUCUGGUGCCAGCAGCCGCGGUAAUUCCAGCUCCAAUAGCGUAUAUUAAAGUUGUUGCAGUUAAAAAGCUCGUAGUUGAAUUUCGGGAUUAGUGCGCCGGUCGUGCCUUCGGUAUGUACUGGUGUUACUGGUUCCUACCUUCUGACGAACCGUCAUGUCAUUAAUUUGGUGUGGCGGGGAAUCAGGACUGUUACUUUGAAAAAAUUAGAGUGUUUAAAGCAGGCUCGCGCUUGAAUACAUUAGCAUGGAAUAAUGAAAUAGGACGUUCGAUCCUAUUUUGUUGGUUUCUAGGAUUGACGUAAUGAUUAAUAGGGAUAGUUGGGGGCAUUAGUAUUCAAUUGUCAGAGGUGAAAUUCUUGGAUUUAUUGAAGACUAACUACUGCGAAAGCAUUUGCCAAGGAUGUUUUCAUUAAUCAAGAACGAAAGUUAGGGGAUCGAAGACGAUCAGAUACCGUCGUAGUCUUAACCAUAAACUAUGCCGACUAGGGAUCGGAUGAUGUUAUUUUUAAUGACUCAUUCGGCGCCUUACGGGAAACCAAAGUGUUUGGGUUC
Molecule: ribosomal RNA, 773 nt
Filed under: uncultured Glomus
Lineage: Eukaryota; Fungi; Glomeromycota; Glomeromycetes; Glomerales; Glomeraceae
Description: SSU rRNA
Rfam family: Eukaryotic small subunit ribosomal RNA
Source: RNAcentral